This 343-nucleotide ribosomal RNA is filed under the name uncultured bacterium. Its description in RNAcentral is "bacterial SSU rRNA". It matches the Rfam family "Bacterial small subunit ribosomal RNA", at positions 165 to 507 of the family's 1533-position model. The record is from RNAcentral.
AAUACCUCAUAAUGCAGCGGAUCCGCAUGGAUUAUGUUGUUAAAGGUUUACCGCUUGGGAUAGGCUUGCGUCUGAUUAGCUAGUUGGUGUGGUAACGGCACACCAAGGCUACGAUCAGUAACUGGUCUGAGAGGAUGAUCAGUCACACUGGAACUGAGACACGGUCCAGACUCCUACGGGAGGCAGCAGUGAGGAAUAUUGGGCAAUGCUUGAAAGAGUGACCCAGCAACGCCGCGUGGAGGAUGAAGGUAUUCUAUAUCGUAAACUCCUGUGAGAGCAGACGAAAGACAGAUUAUUAAUCUGGAUGACUGUAUGCUCAGAGGAAGCCCCGGCUAACUACGUG